GACGAACGCUGGCGGCGUGCUUAACACAUGCAAGUCGAACGGAAAGGCCCUGCUUUUGUGGGGUGCUCGAGUGGCGAACGGGUGAGUAACACGUGAGUAACCUGCCCCUGACUUUGGGAUAACUUCAGGAAACUGGGGCUAAUACCGGAUAGGAGCUCCUGCUGCAUGGGGGGGGUUGGAAAGUUUCGGCGGUUGGGGAUGGACUCGCGGGUUAUCAGCUUGUUGGUGAGGUAGUGGCUUACCAAGGCUUUGACGGGUAGCCGGCCUGAGAGGGUGACCGGCCACAUUGGGCCUGCGAUACGGCCCAGACUCCUACGGGCGGCAGCAGUGGGGAAUAUUGCACAAUGGGCGGAAGCCUGAUGCAGCAACGCCGCGUGCGGGAUGACGGCCUUCGGGUUGUAAACCGCUUUCGCCUGUGCCGAAGCGUGAGUGACGGUAAUGGGUAAGGAAGCACCGGCUAACUACGUG
Molecule: ribosomal RNA, 468 nt
Filed under: uncultured bacterium
Lineage: Bacteria
Description: partial 16S ribosomal RNA
Rfam family: Bacterial small subunit ribosomal RNA
Source: RNAcentral